Molecule: non-coding RNA, 26 nt
Filed under: Rattus norvegicus (Norway rat)
Lineage: Eukaryota; Metazoa; Chordata; Mammalia; Rodentia; Muridae
Source: RNAcentral
UGACGUGGCUGGAAACCUUGGGUUGA